AUGCCUCCCUCAUUCUCACGUCGACAUCUUGAGCCUUCUUCCGAAUCGAUGUCGCCGAAGUACCAUGGCAUGAGGCUUCAGCCAUGGAGCAAGUGGACGGAGGAGAUCCGUAACCCGCAAGCGGUGGCGCGGGUGUGGCUUGUCACGUACCUACCCCUGACUUUUCUCCACGCGCAGUACUCAGGAGAGGAGGAGCGCCUCGCGCCUCUGUACAAACACGGCCCCGCCGGUUCCGGCCAACCAGGCUGCCGGUCAACGAGCCUCCCAGCAACGCCGACUCUGGCGCCACACAACACGCUUGGCUGCCUUCCAUGGCCUCCGGCCACAAGAUGA
RNAcentral lists this ribosomal RNA (333 nucleotides) under Triticum aestivum (bread wheat). Its description in RNAcentral is "partial small subunit ribosomal RNA". The record is from RNAcentral. Lineage: Eukaryota; Viridiplantae; Streptophyta; Magnoliopsida; Poales; Poaceae.